UCUUAAAAAAAUAUUUUCGCCCCCACUAAAGCUUAUGACUGGCUCCGCCACUGCUCCGGAGUCCUUCUUUUUAUCCGGUUCGCACUCAAGGUAGAAUUGUAAUGGCAUGUUGCUUAGAGCAUCUCCAAUGGUGUUGGCUAUAAUCGUUGGCUAAAUUGGAUCCGUAAGACAUUAUGUAAAAUUUGCCGAACCUGUAAGACAUUGUGCUUCAUCCGUAAGACAUUAUGUAAAAUUUGCCGAACCUGUAAGACAUUGUGCUUCAAUGGUAUUAGCUAUAUUGGUUGGCUAUAAUUUAAAAAUAGUAUGUUAUUAAUAUUUAGAUUGUUAUAAAUAGAAUAUAUCAGUUUAAUAUGGUAAUAAAUAAUAUGUAAUCAGUGUGAAGGAGGAAAAUAAAUUGUGGGAGAUGACGUGGAAUUCGCUACAGAUCUGUAGCUGGGAGAUGACGUGGAAUUCGCUACAGAUCUGUAGCGGAUCGACAAAUAUAGCCAUCCAUAGGGGAUGACUAUAAUUAUACACAAAGGAUUGGUGUGGUUCGAGUUCUAUUUUUUGGGAACAUUGGCUAUAAAAUUUAAUUUCGGAAAAUCACAUGGACUUUUAGCCAAGGGCUUGUGAGGGUUGGAGAUGCUCUUACUACAUAAUUUUUUUUCAAAGAUACAUGCCAAGUACAAUAAAGACUGAUGAUGAUGAUGAGGAUGAGGAUGAGGAUGAUGAUGAGGAGGAGGAGGAGGAGGAGAAGGAGGAGGAGGAUGAUAAUGAUCUCGAAGAUGAUCCUCGAUAUAUUGAAGUUCUUAGAACAAUUUAGACAUCUCAUUUUUGGACCAACUAUAGAAAUCAAUUUGCUUUGGGAAUGUACAAUGAGUGGAGAAAUAGAAGUUAGAAAUCAGGUAAAUGUCUUGCCUCACCUCCAAGAACUCCAUUUCUCUCUUUCCUCACAUUAUUUUAAUC
Molecule: long non-coding RNA, 945 nt
Filed under: Daucus carota (carrot)
Lineage: Eukaryota; Viridiplantae; Streptophyta; Magnoliopsida; Apiales; Apiaceae
Description: long non-coding RNA (DCAR_LNC006148)
Source: RNAcentral